UAGGGAAUCUUCCACAAUGGACGCAAGUCUGAUGGAGCAACGCCGCGUGAGUGAAGAAGGUUUUCGGACCGUAAAGCUCUGUUGUUGGUGAAGAAGGAUAGAGGUAGUAACUGGCCCUUUAUUUGACGGUAAUCAACCAGAAAGUCACGGCUAACUACGUGCCAGCAGCCGCGGUAAUCGUAGGUGGCAAGCGUUGUCCGGAUUUAUUGGGCGUAAAGCGAGCGCAGGCGGAAGAAUAAGUCUGAUGUGAAAGCCCUCGGCUUAACCGAGGAAUUGCAUCGGAAACUGUUUUCUUGAGUGCAGAAGAGGAGAGUAGAACUCCAUGUGUAGCGGUGGAAUGCGUAGAUAUAUGGAAGAAUACCAGUGGCGAAGGCGGCUCUCUGGUCUGCAACUGACGCUGAGGCUCGAAAGCAUGGGUAGCGAACAGGAUUAGAUACCCUUGGUAGUCCAUGCCGUAAACGAUGAGUGCUAAGUGUUGGGAGGCUUCCGCCUCUCAGUGCUGCAGCUAACGCAUUAAGCACUCCGCCUGGGGGAGUACGACCGCAAGGUUGAAAC
RNAcentral lists this ribosomal RNA (555 nucleotides) under uncultured bacterium. Its description in RNAcentral is "partial 16S ribosomal RNA". It matches the Rfam family "Bacterial small subunit ribosomal RNA", at positions 355 to 900 of the family's 1533-position model. The record is from RNAcentral.